RNAcentral lists this ribosomal RNA (479 nucleotides) under Staphylococcus aureus. Its description in RNAcentral is "bacterial SSU rRNA". It matches the Rfam family "Bacterial small subunit ribosomal RNA", at positions 50 to 513 of the family's 1533-position model. Lineage: Bacteria; Bacillati; Bacillota; Bacilli; Caryophanales; Staphylococcaceae. The record is from RNAcentral.
UAUACUGCAGUCGAGCGAACGGACGAGAAGCUUGCUUCUCUGAUGUUAGCGGCGGACGGGUGAGUAACACGUGGAUAACCUACCUAUAAGACUGGGAUAACUUCGGGAAACCGGAGCUAAUACCGGAUAAUAUUUUGAACCGCAUGGUUCAAAAGUGAAAGACGGUCUUGCUGUCACUUAUAGAUGGAUCCGCGCUGCAUUAGCUAGUUGGUAAGGUAACGGCUUACCAAGGCAACGAUGCAUAGCCGACCUGAGAGGGUGAUCGGCCACACUGGAACUGAGACACGGUCCAGACUCCUACGGGAGGCAGCAGUAGGGAAUCUUCCGCAAUGGGCGAAAGCCUGACGGAGCAACGCCGCGUGAGUGAUGAAGGUCUUCGGAUCGUAAAACUCUGUUAUUAGGGAAGAACAUAUGUGUAAGUAACUGUGCACAUCUUGACGGUACCUAAUCAGAAAGCCACGGCUAACUACGUGCCAGCA